GAACAGCAUAAUUUUCUCGUUUUUUACUUUCUUUUUUACACCUCACACCCAGGGGCGGCGGUAACGUGUAAAAACGAAAGUGAAAAUUACCAAGCCUCCCAACCGGGAGGCUUUUUCGUA
This is a regulatory RNA element of Shewanella sp., 120 nucleotides long. It matches the Rfam family "Phenylalanine leader peptide". The record is from Rfam. NCBI's taxonomy places the organism in Bacteria, Pseudomonadati, Pseudomonadota, Gammaproteobacteria, Alteromonadales, Shewanellaceae.